Molecule: long non-coding RNA, 502 nt
Filed under: Rattus norvegicus (Norway rat)
Lineage: Eukaryota; Metazoa; Chordata; Mammalia; Rodentia; Muridae
Description: long non-coding RNA NONRATT011119
Source: RNAcentral
CCUUAAUCCGUCAGCUAAUAGUUUUGUUCUCUUUCCGUUCCAGAGAAGAGGUCGAUUUGGAACUUCCAAGCACUGAAAAUGAAUGUCUAUCAAGUUCAGAAGCUGGUGCUGGGGAAAUCAAAGUGGUAUUUAAAGAGAAAACAGUUUCUUCUCUGGGAGUUGCAGCAGAUGGAGUGGCCCCAGUCUUCAAAAAGAGAAGAAUUGAAAAUGGAAAAUCUCGAAAUUUAAGACAGCGAGGUGAGGACGAGUGACUGAAGCUGCAGGCAGAUGAGGCGUGUCCUUUCCAAGCUCCUGCUUCAAAUACUGUAGUGCUGCAUUUUACAUUUAUGCUAAAUGUUUUUAUGUGAAUCAAAAUAAAUCUUCCUUCAUGUGAAAUUUAUUUUUGUUCCUUAAAUGGAAGCCUAUCACAUUGCAUUGUAAUACAGUGUAUUAUGUUCAAUGUCUAAAAUUGCUAAUUAUAUAAUAACUUAAGAUGCUAUGUAUCUGUUAUUUAAAACAUGGG